ACAGAAAUUCUUUGGGGUUCUUUUAAAGUGUAUUAAGGAGAUCCUGAGACCAAAAACUAUGAGAACCACUGAUACAGACAGGAAGCGGCCACAUGCAUGGAACAAGAGGCACCGAACGACACUUGAGGACAAAACACCUGGCCUAGUGCUGCUCUUUGCUGAGAAGAGAAAGAUUCAAAGCUUCAUCCUGCUCCCCAGAUGCUAACCCUAGA
Molecule: non-coding RNA, 212 nt
Organism: Kogia breviceps (pygmy sperm whale)
Lineage: Eukaryota; Metazoa; Chordata; Mammalia; Artiodactyla; Physeteridae
Source: RefSeq, a predicted model, not a curated record